Pongo abelii (Sumatran orangutan) is the source of this 45-nucleotide non-coding RNA. The record is from Rfam. NCBI's taxonomy places the organism in Eukaryota, Metazoa, Chordata, Mammalia, Primates, Hominidae.
UUACAGGUGUCUUUAGACACUACACACAUUUACUUAGACAUGCCU